UUUAAUUAUCAUAUAUAAAAGUGAAAAUAUAAAAUAUAAAUUAAUUUUAGUUGGGGCAACUGGGAGGGAUAAGAAUCUUUUAUUAAAUCAUUUAUAGUAAUAUUUAUAUUUAUGAUCCAAAUUAGUUAAUUUUGAACUUAGAAU
This 144-nucleotide ribosomal RNA is filed under the name Ledella ultima. RNAcentral describes it as "partial small subunit ribosomal RNA". Lineage: Eukaryota; Metazoa; Mollusca; Bivalvia; Nuculanida sp.; Nuculanidae. The record is from RNAcentral.